This 472-nucleotide ribosomal RNA is filed under the name uncultured bacterium. Its description in RNAcentral is "bacterial SSU rRNA". It matches the Rfam family "Bacterial small subunit ribosomal RNA", at positions 355 to 825 of the family's 1533-position model. The record is from RNAcentral.
UGGGGAAUUGUUCGCAAUGGGCGCAAGCCUGACGACGCAACGCCGCGUGGAGGAUGAAGGUCUUCGGAUUGUAAACUCCUGUUGCCCCGGGACGAAUAGCUUCGACCUAAUACGUCGGAGUAUGACGGUACCGGGUGAGGAAGCCCCGGCUAACUCUGUGCCAGCAGCCGCGGUAAUACGGAGGGUGCAAGCAUUGAUCGGAAUUACUGGGCGUAAAGGGCGCGUAGGCGGCUCGAUAAGUCGGAUGUGAAAUUCCGGGGCUCAACCCCGGAGCGGCAUUUGAAACUGUCGAACUAGAGUACAGUUAGGGUAAACGGAAUUCCACGUGUAGUGGUGAAAUGCGUAGAUAUGUGGAAGAACACCGGUGGUGAAGACGGUUUACUGGGCUGUAACUGACGCUGAGGCGCGAAAGCAUGGGGAGCAAACAGGAUUAGAUACCCGUGUAGUCCCUGAGCGGGCUGGCAAGGCGCAU